UGGGGAAUUUUGGACAAUGGGCGCAAGCCUGAUCCAGCAAUGCCGCGUGCAGGAAGAGGGCCUUCGGGUUGUAAACUGCUUUUGUCAGGGAAGAAAUCCUCUGGGUUAAUACCUCGGGGGGAUGACGGUACCUGAAGAAUAAGCACCGGCUAACUACGCGCCAGCAGCCGCGGUAAUACGUAGGGUGCGAGCGUUAAUCGGAAUUACUGGGCGUAAAGCGUGCGCAGGCGGCUUUGCAAGACAGAUGUGAAAUCCCCGGGCUCAACCUGGGAACUGCAUUUGUGACUGCAAGGCUAGAGUACGGUAGAGGGGGAUGGAAUUCCGCGUGUAGCAGUGAAAUGCGUAGAUAUGCGGAGGAACACCAAUGGCGAAGGCAAUCCCCUGGACCUGUACUGACGCUCAUGCACGAAAGCGUGGGGAGCAAACAGGAUUAGAUACCCUGGUAGUCCACGCCCUAAACGAUGUCAACUGGUUGUUGGACGGCUUGCUGUUCAGUAACGAAGCUAACGCGUGAAGUUGACCGCCUGGGGAGUACGGCCGCAAGGUUG
Molecule: ribosomal RNA, 548 nt
Filed under: uncultured beta proteobacterium
Lineage: Bacteria; Pseudomonadati; Pseudomonadota; Betaproteobacteria
Description: bacterial SSU rRNA
Rfam family: Bacterial small subunit ribosomal RNA
Source: RNAcentral